CUCGCUCCACCAAAGACAAGACAGGAAGAGAAAGAGACAGAGAUGGACUUCCACCCAAUUUAUAUCCUGUCUACGUCAUCACGUAACAACAGGAAAAACAAACCCAGUGGCUUUUGGAAGAAGAAGCACCUACCCUCUCUGUGGAGUUCAGAGCCAGGAUUGGAGGAAGCCUUGCCUUCAUCUCUUGACUGGGCAGCUGCUAGACUACUCCAGCUCAUAGCUUUUUGGGACCAGAACUUUGUCUGCUAGGCUGACACAUAGAGGUAGAGCUUAGACCUCUGCUGUUUCAACUUGAUUGACUUCAAUAAGCAUCCAUUAAGCUUCUGUUGCCUGCCAAAUACUAGGCACCAGGGACCAGGAAUCUUUACCUGUUGGAUGAGGAAAAUCUUUCUCCCAACGCAGGUUGACACUCAAUCUGCAACUUAUAGCCUUAGGGCUGAGAUUUUUUCUCCUCAGAAGGAUCUGUGGACAGAUUUCAAGGCAUCUGUGAACUUGGAUGCUGGGAGCAUCUACUCUACAUGCAGACAUAUCCUAAGGACUGUGAGAGAGACAGAGAAAGAGCAGAAGCCCAGGCCUGUCUUCAGAGAGCUCAGUCUGGGGGAGGCCAAAGAAGUGAAUCUAAAGUCCUCCAAACCCUUCGAUACUCAUAAGGUCCUCCAUUGGCCAAAGGAGGGGAGGCCAGAUUCCAUUCAAUUAUACAAACAUUUAUUGAGGAACUACUAAAUGUAGAGCACUCUGCUUUGGAUGGAGGAAGGAUCCAAACUUCACCAAAGACGGGAUACUUACCCUUGUAGGGAUUAUACUCUAGGAGAUGGAGAAGACAGAAAUGCUGAAAAUGGUAUACAUAAUGUUCUAUUGCAAACCAUUAAAGAAAUACAAACAACGUGCUAUGUAAGGAUCAAGAGGGAGUUGUUACUGAUGGGGGCUCAAGGAAAGCUUCUUGGAAGCCAUGGUGUUAGAGUUGGGUUUUAAAGAGUGGGCAAGAGUUUCACAGACCACAUGAGAGUAGGAAGGUGUUCUUUCCAGGCAUAAACUAUAAACAUUCUGGGG
RNAcentral lists this long non-coding RNA (1050 nucleotides) under Monodelphis domestica (gray short-tailed opossum). Its description in RNAcentral is "lncRNA (ENSMODG00000048016.1)". The record is from RNAcentral. Lineage: Eukaryota; Metazoa; Chordata; Mammalia; Didelphimorphia; Didelphidae.